ACCCGCUGAACUUAAGCAUAUCAAUAAGCGGAGGAAAAGAAACCAACAGGGAUUGCCCUAGUAACGGCGAGUGAAGCGGCAACAGCUCAAAUUCGAAAUCUGGCGCAAGCCCGAGUUGUAAUUUGUAGAGGAUGCUUCUAGGUAGCGACCGGUCUAAGUUCCUUGGAACAGGACGUCAUAGAGGGUGAGAAUCCCGUAUGUGACUGGCCCGCACCUUCUACGUAGCUCCUUCGACGAGUCGAGUUGUUUGGGAAUGCAGCUCUAAAUGGGAGGUAAAUUUCUUCUAAAGCUAAAUACCGGCCAGAGACCGAUAGCGCACAAGUAGAGUGAUCGAAAGAUGAAAAGCACUUUGGAAAGAGAGUUAAAAAGCACGUGAAAUUGUUGAAAGGGAAGCGCUCACAACCAGACUUCUAGGCAGUGUUCCGCCGGUCUUUUGACCGGUCUACUCUCUGUCUCGAGGCCAACAUCAUCUGGGACCGCCGGAUAAGACCUUAGGAAUGUAGCUCCCCUCGGGGAGUGUUAUAGCCUCUGGUGAUGCGGCGCGUCUCGGGUGAGGUCCGCGCUUCGGCAAGGAUGUUGGCGUAAUGGUUGUCAGCGGCCCGUCUUGAAACACGGACCAAGGAGUCUAACAUCUAUGCGAGUGUUCGGGUGUCAAACCCCUACGCGUAAUGAAAGUGAACGGAGGUGGGAAGCGUAAGCUGCACCAUCGACCGAUCCUGAUGUCCUCGGAUGGAUUUGAGUAAGAGCAUAGCUGUUGGGACCCGAAAGAUGGUGAACUAUGCCUGAAUAGGGUGAAGCCAGAGGAAACUCUGGUGGAGGCUCGCAGCGGUUCUGACGUGCAAAUCGAUCGUCAAAUUUGGGUAUAGGGGCGAAAGACUAAUCGAACCAUCUAGUAGCUGGUUCCUGCCGAAGUUUCCCUCA
RNAcentral lists this ribosomal RNA (921 nucleotides) under Ramularia endophylla. Its description in RNAcentral is "LSU rRNA". It matches the Rfam family "Eukaryotic large subunit ribosomal RNA", at positions 23 to 975 of the family's 3401-position model. The record is from RNAcentral. Lineage: Eukaryota; Fungi; Ascomycota; Dothideomycetes; Mycosphaerellales; Mycosphaerellaceae.